AAGGGUGCGUAGGCGGCCUGUUAAGUCAGGGGUGAAAGACGGUAGCUCAACUAUCGCAGUGCCCUUGAUACUGAUGGGCUUUGAAUGGACUAGAGGUAGGCGGAAUGAGACAAGUAGCGGUGAAAUGCAUAGAUAUGUCUCAGAACACCGAUUGCGAAGGCAGCUUACUAUGGUCUUAUUGACGCUGAGGCACGAAAGCGUGGGGAUCAAACAGGAUUAGAUACCCCGGU
RNAcentral lists this ribosomal RNA (230 nucleotides) under uncultured bacterium. RNAcentral describes it as "partial 16S ribosomal RNA". It matches the Rfam family "Bacterial small subunit ribosomal RNA", at positions 563 to 791 of the family's 1533-position model. The record is from RNAcentral.